Molecule: long non-coding RNA, 296 nt
Filed under: Carica papaya (papaya)
Lineage: Eukaryota; Viridiplantae; Streptophyta; Magnoliopsida; Brassicales; Caricaceae
Description: long non-coding RNA (CPAP_LNC006179)
Source: RNAcentral
AGCGCAACACCUAGUACCCCUAGGCCCUGCAAGCAUGGCAGCAAGCCUACGCACAUGUAGGCUAGCCUGCAGUGCAUUAGUCGGGCACUGCCACUUUAGGCAGUGCACCAUUGUUGCCUUAGGCGACACACCACCCCCGUCGAUGGAGGAAAUUUUUUUUUCCCUUUUUCGUGCCAAAAAUCUUUUUUCCUCUCUCUUCACUAGAAUUCAUCACUUGGCACAAAUCCAAUAGUUUUAAAAUUCUAUAAAUUGCCCUUCCAAUACCCUCCCUCUCCAUACUUGCAUUUAUCCCAUCU